AAUUGGAUAGGUUAUUCAAACCUUUGAGUUGUGGUCUCAAUAAUACAUUUAUGUUCUAAUUC
Molecule: transfer RNA, 62 nt
Filed under: Batracobdella cancricola
Lineage: Eukaryota; Metazoa; Annelida; Clitellata; Rhynchobdellida; Glossiphoniidae
Description: tRNA-His
Source: RNAcentral